This 493-nucleotide ribosomal RNA is filed under the name uncultured bacterium. RNAcentral's name for it is "partial 16S ribosomal RNA". It matches the Rfam family "Bacterial small subunit ribosomal RNA", at positions 29 to 523 of the family's 1533-position model. The record is from RNAcentral.
AACAAACGCUGGCGGCAUGCUUUACACAUGCAAGUCGAACGGUAACAGGUUAAGCUGACGAGUGGCGAACGGGUGAGUAAUGCAUCGGAACGUGCCCGAUCGUGGGGGAUAACGCAGCGAAAGCUGCGCUAAUACCGUAUACGAUCUGAGGAUGAAAGCGGGGGACCGUAAGGCCUCGCGCGAUCGGAGCGGCCGAUGUCAGAUUAGGUAGUUGGUGGGGUAAAGGCUCACCAAGCCAACGAUCCGUAGCUGGUCUGAGAGGACGACCAGCCACACUGGGACUGAGACACGGCCCAGACUCCUACGGGAGGCAGCAGUGGGGAAUUUUGGACAAUGGGCGAAAGCCUGAUCCAGCAAUGCCGCGUGCAGGAAAAAGGCCUUCGGGUUGUAAACUGCUUUUGUACGGAGCGAAAAGGCUCUCUCUAAUACAGGGGGCUCAUGACGGUACCGUAAGAAUAAGCACCGGCUAACUACGUGCCAGCCGCCGCCGUAA